Molecule: non-coding RNA, 593 nt
Organism: Paramuricea clavata
Lineage: Eukaryota; Metazoa; Cnidaria; Anthozoa; Malacalcyonacea; Plexauridae
Source: the annotation of a GenBank genome assembly
CCCUAUAUAAACUAAAUUGAUCACAAUUCAAUAUAUUUUAAAACCAAACCUGAGAAUGUUGUGCACAUUGCGCUAGUAUUAUACCUAUCAAAAUACCAUACCUUGUUUAGUGAGAACCAUGAGGCGUCUCUUCCACAAAUAUUACAUAUCUUGGGGAGUACAUGCGCGUUUCUUUUACGCAGGGCAUUUAUAUUUAUAGCUUCUGCGACUGAUUGACGUGUAUUAAUUUUUCGCCUUGGUUCUAUUGCCUCCACUUCCACGUGUGAUUCUUCGGUAGAAGUUAUAGUUUUAGAGCUAGUUCCUUCUCCUUUUUCUUCUUUUCUCUGUUAUCUACGGAUCUUCGGUUCAUCACAAAAUCUCUUCCAGCAUUUCAUAUGAUGGUUCCAUUCUAAGUUAAUGGUGUCAGAGUUCUUCUCGAUGUAUGAAUUGACAGAUCCGUCAUCGAUGUUCUCGUACGAUUUCUUAGCUAUUUCAGCUUGUUGACAUUUAAGUUUGGCCCCAUUUUGACCUACACUCAAGAAAUUUCUUAAGCCUUUGGUGGCGUGUAACUUUGCAAAGUUGCUCCGUAACGCUCAAAAUGCAUAAAACAUGAG